This 428-nucleotide ribosomal RNA is filed under the name uncultured bacterium. RNAcentral's name for it is "bacterial SSU rRNA". It matches the Rfam family "Bacterial small subunit ribosomal RNA", at positions 330 to 775 of the family's 1533-position model. The record is from RNAcentral.
GCCAGACUCCUACGGGAGGCAGCAGUGGGGAAUAUUGCACAAUGGGGGGAACCCUGAUGCAGCGACGCCGCGUGAGUGAAGAAGUAUUUCGGUAUGUAAAGCUCUAUCAGCAGGGAAGAAAAUGACGGUACCUGACUAAGAAGCCCCGGCUAACUACGUGCCAGCAGCCGCGGUACUACGUAGGGGGCAAGCGUUAUCCGGAUUUACUGGGUGUAAAGGGAGCGUAGACGGCAGAGCAAGUCUGAAGUGAAAGCCCGCGGCCCAACUGCGGGACUGCUUUGGAAACUGCCGGGCUAGAGUGCUGGAGAGGUAAGCGGAAUUCCUAGGGUAGCGGUGAAAUGCGUAGAUAUUAGGAGGAACACCAGUGGCGAAGGCGGCUUACUGGACAGUAACUGACGUUGAGGCUCGAAAGCGUGGGGAGCAAACAG